GAUGAACGCUGGCGGCGUGCUUAACACAUGCAAGUCGAACGAAACACCUUAUUUGAUUUUCUUCGGAACUGAAGAUUUGGUGAUUGAGUGGCGGACGGGUGAGUAACGCGUGGGUAACCUACCCUGUACAGGGGGAUAACAGUCAGAAAUGACUGCUAAUACCGCAUAAGACCACAGCACCGCAUGGUGCAGGGGUAAAAACUCCGGUGGUACAGGAUGGACCCGCGUCUGAUUAGCUGGUUGGUGAGGUAACGGCUCACCAAGGCGACGAUCAGUAGCCGGCUUGAGAGAGUGAACGGCCACAUUGGGACUGAGACACGGCCCAAACUCCUACGGGAGGCAGCAGUGGGGAAUAUUGCACAAUGGGGGAAACCCUGAUGCAGCGACGCCGCGUGAGUGAAGAAGUAUCUCGGUAUGUAAAGCUCUAUCAGCAGGGAAGAAAAUGACGGUACCUGACUAAGAAGCCCCGGCUAACUACGUGCCAGCAGCCGCGGUAAUACGUAGGGGGCAAGCGUUAUCCGGAAUUACUGGGUGUAAAGGGUGCGUAGGUGGUAUGGCAAGUCAGAAGUGAAAACCCAGGGCUUAACUCUGGGACUGCUUUUGAAACUGUCAGACUGGAGUGCAGGAGAGGUAAGCGGAAUUCCUAGUGUAGCGGUGAAAUGCGUAGAUAUUAGGAGGAACAUCAGUGGCGAAGGCGGCUUACUGGACUGAAACUGACACUGAGGCACGAAAGCGUGGGGAGCAAACAGGAUUAGAUACCCUGGUAGUCCACGCCGUAAACGA
RNAcentral lists this ribosomal RNA (783 nucleotides) under uncultured bacterium. RNAcentral describes it as "bacterial SSU rRNA". It matches the Rfam family "Bacterial small subunit ribosomal RNA", at positions 28 to 809 of the family's 1533-position model. The record is from RNAcentral.